RNAcentral lists this ribosomal RNA (773 nucleotides) under uncultured Neocallimastigales. RNAcentral's name for it is "partial large subunit ribosomal RNA". It matches the Rfam family "Eukaryotic large subunit ribosomal RNA", at positions 24 to 643 of the family's 3401-position model. The record is from RNAcentral. Lineage: Eukaryota; Fungi; Neocallimastigomycota; Neocallimastigomycetes; Neocallimastigales.
GCAUCUGUGCAUGCAGCAUAUCAAUAAGCGGAGGAAAAGAAACUAACAAGGAUUCCCCUAGUAACGGCGAGUGAAGCGGGAAGAGCUCAAAUUUGAAAUCUUAAAGGGUUUACCUUUACGAAUUGUAGUUUAAAGAAGUGUUUUCUGCUGAGGUUUUGGUAAAAGUUCUUUGGAAUAGGACAUCAUAGAGGGUGAGAAUCCCGUAUUUGACCAUUAUUUUCAGCUUUGUGAUACACUUUCAAAGAGUCGGAUUGUUUGGGAAUGCAGUCCAAAAUGGGUGGUAAAUUUCAUCUAAAGCUAAAUAUUGGCGAGAGACCGAUAGCGAACAAGUACCGUGAGGGAAAGAUGAAAAGAACUUUGAAAAGAGAGUUAAACAGUACGUGAAAUUGUCAAAAGGGAAGCGUUUGACACCAGUGUUGUUUUUCUGAAAAUCAAUUAAAGAACUGUUUAUGCUAAGCUGUUUAGACUUUAUCAGCUAUCUGUUUAGUUUUGAGCUUUUCUUUAAUGCACUUUUCAGUUAACAAGUCAACAUCAAUUUCUUUUGCUGUAAAAAAGCUUGAGGAAGGUGGCUUGAGAUUCGUCUUAAGUGUUUAUAGCCUCUUGCCUAUGCAGUCGGAGAGAUUGAGGUCUGCAGCGUAGAUCCUUCGGGGCUAAAUGCAUUUGUGCUAAGUUAUAGCAUUUUAUAGACAACUUGUUGACUAUGAUUUGUCUUGUAGCUUACUCGCUUAUGUUAUUUUACCUACGCUUAGGAUGUUGAUAGUCACAGCGUGUAC